Long non-coding RNA from Solea solea (common sole), 950 nucleotides. RefSeq lists it as uncharacterized. NCBI's taxonomy places the organism in Eukaryota, Metazoa, Chordata, Actinopteri, Pleuronectiformes, Soleidae. The record is from RefSeq and is a predicted model, not a curated record. The transcript is spliced from 4 exons.
GAGAGGAUUCGUCUAUUUCUUGUGCUGUAAUAUGUGAUGUGGAAUUCAGUGACCUCAAAUCCAACAACAUGUCAAAUGUGGACACAAGCACAUGGACCACGUCACUGCAUUUAGAUGUGUAUGGGUCUUUAAACUGCACUGGAAAUGCCACCCAACCAUCAAAUAGGCCUACUUCACCAGAAUCAACAUUUCUGUCUCCUAUCAUCUAUGGAACAUCAGCAGCGGCUGCAUGUGUUAUUGUUGUGGUAGUUUCAGUGCUCUACUUCAGAACAAGGUUGUGGGCAGGUUUUACUGAGUGCUGCUCUGGCUCUGCCACUGAUGACAGGGUGGAGGAGACCCAUGUGAUUUAUUCUUCACUUAUCAUCAGGAAACCUGUCAGGACAACAAGCAGUCACAUGGCUGACAGUAAUUGUGUGUAUAGUGUGCCUAUACACAGGGCUUAAAUCCACAUUUUAAGACCAAGCUGCUGUGUAAAAUCUUUAGAUUUUGAUUGAUCUGACCUUCUGUAACAUGUCCCACAAGAUAAGACAUCUCAUCUUUGUGAUUGACGUUGAGGCCACAUUAGGUCCUGACUUAUUAUUGAUCAUUUUAAAUCUGAUAUUAAGUCCCACCUCCUCCUUAUUAUUAUUAGUAGUAUUUUGUUGCUAUUAAUUCAUUUUCUGAGUUUUUUUGUUGUUGAUGAUUUCAUGUUUAAAAGUUGUGUGUAGUGUCUUAAAAUGUGAGGUGAGAUUAAAUGUCUUGGUCACCAUAUUGCUUAUUAUUUUAUCAGAAAAUUGUUGUAAGAUGCUUAAGAUAAUAGCAUUCUGUGUCAUCCUUUAUGCUGCCCGCUGGUGGCGCUCUUAUAGAAAAAGCAACAUGCAGAGAGUUGAUGUGGUGUCAUAAUGAUGGCAAUACAGUGAAUUGUUUGGAAGUGAUGAAAGGUAAUUAUAUAUAGCAUAUAUUGAUUUGUA